This 800-nucleotide unclassified non-coding RNA is filed under the name Leishmania donovani. RNAcentral describes it as "gene:LdHU3.32.3250(CDS-product:hypothetical_prote in)". The record is from RNAcentral. Lineage: Eukaryota; Euglenozoa; Kinetoplastea; Trypanosomatida; Trypanosomatidae.
CACCCCGAGAGGCGUCUGGGCAUCUGCGUGGCGAGUACGACGGUUGGUGAGGCAACACCCGCUUUGGAUGUGUAGACGUGAGCGCUCGAGCGACUACCCACCGUGAGAGGGCGUAGUCGAACAGACAUGUGGCGCAUUAAGGCUGCUGGCCUGGUGUCGGGGUUUGUCAUCACUUGCGCCGGCUAUUACAAGGUGUUUGCGCUCGAAAUGCUCAGCGCGCGUGCGGCGCAGGAGAAGCGCUACGAGGAUAUCGAGCAGCGGCUGCUAGCGGCAGCACGUGAUGCUAUGAAAGCCGCUCCGGCGGAGCACUAUGUCGUGGCGCAAGCCACGGGACCACCAUCCUGAGAGUGAGCUGUUCACAUGGUUUGAACGAACACCAUCGCUGCAGCGCAAUCGCUCACACGCACUUGCACGUACACCCAACCACCCUUCCACCCACCCACACACGUUGCGGUUUUCAUUGCCAGUCGAGAGCAGGAGGCUCUACCUGCCGUUUUCAUCUCGGUAGCUAAGCAGCGUUACCGCCGACGACUCCACAAGGGUAAGAAUUAUCCCUAUCACACCUGCGCGAGGGUGUCUCCGCGGUGCGCGUGAGUGUGUACGGGUGCUGGGAGGACAUGCUUGCCAGAGGACGGCGAAGACCAUGGCGCGAUGCAGGGCUGAACUUCUAUGCGGCCCGCCGCCGCCCCCCCUUUCUUACCCCCUUGCAGCGGACGGUGCGGAGGUGCUCCACUGGUGUGGAUCUGUUCUUAAUGUUUGUGCUUCCCCCGCCGGCUUGCCUGGCCUUGACACACAGACAC